RNAcentral lists this long non-coding RNA (550 nucleotides) under Rosa chinensis. RNAcentral describes it as "sRNA RchiOBHm_Chr7g0198291". Lineage: Eukaryota; Viridiplantae; Streptophyta; Magnoliopsida; Rosales; Rosaceae. The record is from RNAcentral.
GUUAUUCUGAUGUUCGUGAGAUUCUUCAGUAAUCCCUGUCCUAAGCACUACAAUUGAUAACUCCAAGGAGGAUGCAAAACCGGGAACUCAACAUCGCAAGCUCCUGAGCUAUGAAUCUUCUAUGUUCCAAGCAAGUCUUGGAGUUGAGGACCUUUAAAUGACGGAACUAAGGCUUCAUCUUCUAGGGUUAAGAAAAACUGCGCGAAACCCCCUUUUCCUCCUCCUUGUUGAUUGAGUGGCCGGAAAAACCCAGAUCGAGUCGUGAACAAAUCCCCAAAUCAAUGUUGUAAACUCAGAGAUCGAAGAACCCACAUCUUUAGUUGAUUGUAUUGAUGAACCUUCUCCUUCUUCCCGAUUCGCAGAAUACUCCUUCAUAAAAGGACUUGAGUGAUGGCUGAGUCGAGAGCGAAGAACCCUAAUUUCAAGCUAAGAAGUGACGGCUUUUGAGUGAUGACUUGUGCUUUGGAGAGAGAAGAAGACUGAUGAAGAAAUUGUGUGGGAAAUAAAUGGAGAGGGAGACAAAAGUCGAUAGCCCGAACCUAAUUAAGUU